This 1251-nucleotide long non-coding RNA is filed under the name Olea europaea subsp. europaea. The record is from RNAcentral. Lineage: Eukaryota; Viridiplantae; Streptophyta; Magnoliopsida; Lamiales; Oleaceae.
CCAACCCAAGUAACCACAGCCCAUAACCCGUUUACGUUUACCGACCCGGACCCAGUGAACCAGACCCAUCAUUCUUAACCCGUUUGAAAUCAAAAUCAGGCCAAACCCUUAAUCCGUUAAUCGCCUCUCUCUCCAUACUCGUCUCUCGCCUGCGCUGCCUCUCAAAGUCGCUCCGCCCGUCUCCGCCCUUGCAUCGGUCACCUGUGGCCGGCAUCUCCUUUGUGUGGGCUUUAAUCUCCUUCCCUUAGCUCCCUGUAACUAAGUGUAAGCUCCGCCCUCGGUCCCUGCCGUCUAGAUUAGGCCGAAACUGAAGUCGGUGACCGCAAUUGAACCAUCGUCUGCCAGGCGCCACCGCACGGUUCGCACCAGCUGCCGCCUGUAAAGACUAAAGAAGGUAAUUAAUUUCGAAUUUAGAUGUUCUUCCAAAUUCCAACUGAACUACAGUGCCGUGAGCCGUCUGCCGGUGCAAGUCUGCUGCCUAAUUUUUCAUUUCUUCGAUUUUGCAGAUUCUCAUUGAUUCAGUCAUUCUCAGUUUCUCACUUAGUCACUCUGUCAGUAACUUGGUAUGUGAAUUUAUGUUGUGAAAUUGGAUUGAUAUUUGAUAGUGUGAAAUUGUGAAAUAGUAUAAAUUUUGAAAUAGUAUAAAUUGUGAAAUUGCCAUCACAAUGAAAUAGUACUUGUUCACUUGUUAAGUGUGUUUAGCUCUGAAUAAUGUUUCAUUUGAGAAGAGUGACACUAGUAGGAGAACAUUGAACCAGGGAGUGGAGAAUUGGUGGGAUGAAUUGAUUACCUUCGUUAGGAAUUUGAUUGAUCGAUGUUUCCAUAGGGACGUGUUUCAUUUAACUGUAGUACUGUUCACACUCGAGUGCCUUCAACUGUUUAAGAAAUUUCUCCAUGAAUUAUACAAGUCGGAGUUUGAAGAAGUGGAAGAGAAAGAUCCCUUCAGCCCCAAGAUACCCAUUAAGAAACAAGAUGAGUACAUAGUUGGUGCUUUUUCUUACUUUAAAUGUAUAGUUGGGUACAAGAUGAGUACAUAGCAUAUUUAUGGCUUGUUUAGUUGGGUUUGCUUCUGCCAUCACAAUGAAAUAGUAUAAAUUUUGAAAUUGUGAAAUAGUAUAAAUUGUGAAAUUGCAUUGUGAAUUUGCGAUUUGGAAGGUGAAUUGAUAUUGUGAAAUUGGAUUGAUAAUGUGAAAUUGUGAAUUGGAUUGUGAAAUGUGAAUUGCACUUGCGAAUUGAAAUUGUGAAAUUGUG